CCUACGGGGGGCUGCAGUGGGGAAUAUUGGACAAUGGGGGCAACCCUGAUCCAGCCAUGCCGCGUGUGUGAAGAAGGCCCUCGGGUUGUAAAGCACUUUCAGUGAGGAAGAACGCCUGGUGGUUAAUACCCAUCAGGAAAGACAUCACUCACAGAAGAAGCACCGGCUAACUCCGCGCCAGCAGCCGCGGUAAUACGGAGGGUGCGAGCGUUAAUCGGAAUUACUGGGCGUAAAGCGCGCGUAGGUGGCUUGAUAAGCCGGUUGUGAAAGCCCCGGGCUCAACCUGGGAACGGCAUCCGGAACUGUCAAGCUAGAGUGCAGGAGAGGAAGGUAGAAUUCCCGGUGUAGCGGUGAAAUGCGUAGAGAUCGGGAGGAAUACCAGUGGCGAAGGCGGCCUUCUGGACUGACACUGACACUGAGGUGCGAAAGCGUGGGUAGCAAACAGGAUUAGAUACCCUUGUAGUC
This 465-nucleotide ribosomal RNA is filed under the name Vreelandella stevensii. RNAcentral describes it as "partial 16S ribosomal RNA". It matches the Rfam family "Bacterial small subunit ribosomal RNA", at positions 338 to 795 of the family's 1533-position model. Lineage: Bacteria; Pseudomonadati; Pseudomonadota; Gammaproteobacteria; Oceanospirillales; Halomonadaceae. The record is from RNAcentral.